AGUAUUGAUAAGAAAGUCAUUCGUGUAGUACGAGUCUACAUACUCCGCGAUCGUAUCACCGGCUUCACUAUAAAAACAAACAAACUCCGAUAGUAAUCAAUAUAACGAACAUUAGAACAUAUUUACAUUUCAAUGAACCCGACAUUAAUCAUUUCAUGAUCGUACCUUAUUGCAGCGAUUGAAUGAGAACAUGGCAGUUGGUCUAGCUGAAAUACUCGACAUUCACAUUUUUUCUUCUCCAGAUCCACCUUGAAGCUUCUGUCAGCAGUUUGCACCUUAUACUUCAUGCCACUCAACCUUUGUGCAGUGUAUCGACGACUUUUUUGGACUUCAAUAGCU
Molecule: long non-coding RNA, 339 nt
Filed under: Salvia miltiorrhiza (redroot sage)
Lineage: Eukaryota; Viridiplantae; Streptophyta; Magnoliopsida; Lamiales; Lamiaceae
Description: long non-coding RNA (SMIL_LNC000878)
Source: RNAcentral